CCCAUGCAGGAGCCCAGUGUCAGACUGAGCCUGUGCCGCAGUGUGGGCAUGAUGGCACAGGCAGUGCGCAGCGCCAGUCCCUCCGGAGCUCCCAGCUUCCCUGCCAAGGCCGAGCUCCUGGCGACAAUGAUGGUGUUUUUUAAAAAGCAGCCCAGUGAUCCCCUGAGCAGAGCUGUCUGUCUGCUGGCCCUGCACGCCUGUUCCACACUGAGGUAUUGUUUCCUGAUGAAACUGCUUUCACUGCUUCCAUUUCUUCAGAUUUACAUUUUUAAGGGUGCUUGAGGCAGAUGGGCAUUGUGUUUGAUGCAAUAAGUGCCAUUUCCUAACAUCAAUAUGUGGUGCAUCAACUGCAGUACUCCUAC
Molecule: long non-coding RNA, 362 nt
Filed under: Lepisosteus oculatus (spotted gar)
Lineage: Eukaryota; Metazoa; Chordata; Actinopteri; Semionotiformes; Lepisosteidae
Description: lncRNA (ENSLOCG00000022650.1)
Source: RNAcentral